Molecule: ribosomal RNA, 254 nt
Filed under: uncultured bacterium
Lineage: Bacteria
Description: partial 16S ribosomal RNA
Rfam family: Bacterial small subunit ribosomal RNA
Source: RNAcentral
UACGAAGGGUGCAAGCGUUGUUCGGAAUUAUUGGGCGUAAAGCGCACGUAGGCGGCCUUGUAAGUCUCACUGUGAAAGUCCGGGGCUCAACCCCGGGAUGCCAGGGGAUACUGCGAGGCUUGAGGGCAGGAGAGGCUCGCGGAAUUCCCAGUGUAGAGGUGAAAUUCGUAGAUAUUGGGAAGAACACCGGUGGCGAAGGCGGCGAGCUGGCCUGUUACUGACGCUGAGGCGCGACAGCGUGGGGAGCAAACAGG